Molecule: ribosomal RNA, 450 nt
Filed under: uncultured bacterium
Lineage: Bacteria
Description: bacterial SSU rRNA
Rfam family: Bacterial small subunit ribosomal RNA
Source: RNAcentral
UGGGGAAUUGUUCGCAAUGGGCGCAAGCCUGACGACGCAACGCCGCGUGGAGGAUGAAGAUCUUCGGGUCGUAAACUCCUUUCGAUCGAGACGAACGGCCUCUGGGUGAACAACCCAGAGGAGUGACGGUACCGAGAGAAGAAGCCCCGGCUAACUCCGUGCCAGCAGCCGCGGUAAUACGGGGGGGGCAAGCGUUGUUCGGAAUUACUGGGCGUAAAGGGCUCGUAGGUGGCCAACUAAGUCAUACGUGAAAUCCCUCGGCUUAACCGGGGAACUGCGUCUGAUACUGGAUGGCUUGAGUUUGGGAGAGGGACGCGGAAUUCCAGGUGUAGCGGUGAAAUGCGUAGAUAUCUGGAGGAACACCGGUGGCGAAGGCGGCGUCCUGGACCAACACUGACACUGAUGAGCGAAAGCCAGGGGAGCAAACGGGAUUAGAUACCCCCGUAGUCC